Non-coding RNA from Rattus norvegicus (Norway rat), 7661 nucleotides. Lineage: Eukaryota; Metazoa; Chordata; Mammalia; Rodentia; Muridae. The record is from RefSeq and is a predicted model, not a curated record.
CCGGGAAAGGGAAUAACACUCGAAAUGUAUAUAAGAAAUACUCAAGUUAAUAAAAAAAAAAAAAGAUUCUACACUGUACCUUUACAGGUUGUUACAAAUGUUUUUAAGGGAUGGAUGGUACUGGGCUUUGUAUGUUUAGGUGGGCAAUUAUAGCUUACCAAUUGGGUCAAAGAUUAUUGUGUUCUGUGUUCUUUUACCUGAUGAUUUGAGUGUAACAAAGUGUGGGGCGGCAGGAGACACUGGGCCGCCGAGGAGUUGGGAUGUGUUUCCGCCAAGAUAUCUAGCAGAUAUCUUUGGGCACCUAGGUGCUGGACCUAGUAGGAUGAAGACAACCUUACUUUUUUAUUUUUUAUAUUUUUACAACAACAGAUGGCGAAUUAAUGUGAUGGGCAAGAAUCCACUAGUAAUCCUAAGAGUUGAGAGAAAGUUUUUAUUUUCUGAGUAAGAGGAGGCCAGCAUCAUGUUAAGUCAUGUGAUAUCUCAAGUUGGGGAAUUUAACAAAGAAACAGGGAAGUAGCCUAGGCUGGCAGGCUGUAGGUCCCAGGCUGUCCGAUAAAUAAUGGCCGCUCAGAGAGUUAGAGAUUAAGCUGCUUUUUAAAGAACGUUGUUUAGAAAGUCUUUCAGUACUCAUAUCCUUUUUAACGUGGGCUCCACGGGAAUUUUGGGUUGAAAUCCUAGUUAGACAAGCUACUUCUAAAUUAAAGGUAUUGUUAAAAGGUGAUUAAGUUUGUUUUUAGAAAGAAUUGAGUAAAGAGAUCACUUGAAUCAGGUGGGGAUUUUCAUCCACGGUUCAGAACUUAGGGAAAAAUUAGUCACUACCUCCAAGUAGAGAGUUGUGAUGAAUGUCUGUAAUACCAGGGAGAGUGAAUACAGACAUAGAAAUUAUUAAGGUUAAAGAAAAAAUCUGUGGCUCCGGGUAGAGAGCUUAACAGAUGGAUAUAUUUUGGGCUAAAGUCCAGAAUUUUAAGUUGCUUAUUGGUUUAAGAUUUGAUAGAAUGUGUUUAAGUUUGUUUUAAGGAGAGUAAAGAGAUUACCCGAAUCAUGUGGGGAUUUUCAUCUAUGGUUUGGAACUUAGGGAAAAAUUGGUCACUAACUCCAAGUAGAGAGUUGUGAUGUCUGUAACACCAGGGAGAGUGAAUGCAGACAUACAUAUAUUAUAGAAGUUAUUAAGGUUAAAUAAAAAUCUGUGGCUCCGGGUAGAGAGAUUAACAGAUGGAUAUAUUUUGGACUAAAGUCCUGGGUUGAUAUGUUGCUUAUUGAUAUUGGAAUUAAUAGAAGAUAUUUGGCUUGUUUUAUGAAUUACCCCGCUAAAGGCCAUAUGGCUCAUUGAUACCGGCUAGUGAGGGUUUGUGGUUAUUUUUUUAUAUCUACCACAACAAGAAGCUCAGAUUCUCUUAACAUGGGCUCCGCAGGAAUUUCGGGUUAAUUUCCUGAUAUCACAGAGUACAAAAGCCUAUCAGGCUCAUUGUUUAGCUUACUUCCUUUUUAAAAAAUUGUUUAAUCUUCAUAAUGGGUGUGACUUUGAGUUUUAUUGGUUAUAUUAUUACUCUGGAAGAGAGUUCAAGAUACAAGCUUUUCUGGUUACAGACUAAGGAACACUGUAUUUUGGGAGAAAGAUUUUGUUUUUGUGUUUUUAAAAAGUAUGAUUAGGCUCUGGAAACCUCACAGAGUCAUACUGAUCAGAUUUGAUAGAGGUAGACCACCUGAAAAAUUUAUUCAGGAGAAUCAAAAAGAUAUCUCUAUUCUAAACUUUUGUCUUGAGAGUUGUAUUUUACAGAGUGUGCCUACUUGGAUUCCUGGUCUCAACAAAUUUCAGCUGGGUCCAGUCAGGACACAUCAGCUACAGCAUUUGUUUCAUUCUUCCUCCCCCCUACCCCCAAGGAUAUCUCAACGCCCAUGUACAGCUUGGAAGUUAUAGAGGAGUUGUCGCCCCAGUUCCCUGGACUUUGUGGGGCUGAAAGUGGUUAUUCUAAAGUUGUUUUUAUGAGGAACUUAGAAAUGGUUGUAAUUUAACAGGGAGGAAUUAGCUAGAUUGAGUUAUACAGUCGUAAUCUCAUUUGUUAACUAAGCUAAAAUAAUAUCUUUGCUUUGAUAUAGAAUUUAUUUGUUAAAAGUUUAAAAGUACAAGGUUUAGAGCCAGUCCAUCUAUUGAUGUCAUUACAAACUUCUGAGUUGAUUACACAUGUGAGUUAAGGGCCAAAUAGCAAACAUAUUGCUGACUUUGUGAGAGUACUUUCAAGAUAUUAAGAUAUAAAGACAAUAGUACAGAUUGUCUUUAUAGAUAGAUGGUUUUCAAAAAUGUCAGAAAUCCAGAAAAUUUGAGAUUUAAAGUUAUUUAUCUUUUGUUGAGACAUAUCUGCUUCUACCAGUUACCCUUUGGUGGAUUUAACGAAGAAUGUGAACAUCUCUACCUCCAGGCGAGGUAAUACUUUGUGUCUAGGCAGCCACUGGACAAAACUGCCUGUUUCAUCUGCAGACUAAUACUGUCCAGAAAAGGACAAAUUAUGCAGAAUAGUUGACUAAUAAGCUCUGCCAAGACAGGGUGAUCAGCCCCUCAAAAUCUGCGUUUCAAGAGUCUGUCAGUUGAUUUUGGGCCAGAAGGCUGAAGACUUGCGCUCACAUGUUGCUAACAGGACUGUGCUAGUGGAGAUUUGUUUCUACAACCUCUCAGUUCUGGAAGCUGUGUUAGGCUUCCUAUGUGUAUAGAUAUUUGGUCAUUCUCAGAUUUCUGACGGGGUUGAAGACCUUUUACAGUCUCAUAGCCUAUCAGGCUAUUUAACUCUGAAAAUGCAUAUUUUAUUGGAUAGUUAUCAGACAGCAUACAAGCUAGCCAAGAUAUAAUAUAGAUUUUAAGCCUUUCUUAAGCUGGAAUGGAUAACUAAAUGUUCUGUUUAACUGAUAUAGUGAUGGACUAGGUGUUGAGUAUAUCAUAUGUUUUAUAAAUUGUAGAAUGGUAAUAAUUGUACUCAAUUUAUAUAUAAGUGAAAAGGCUUUUUUACUGGACAAAAAGGGGGAAAUGUGGUUUGCCCUGGAGUUAUCUGUAUUUUGAUGCUAAUUUCACUGCCCCAAGGACAGCUGCCUAGUCCUGUACUCAGGACUCAGGUGACUUCACCAGAAACUUCUCCCCAUUGAGUUUGUAAAAUACAGGUGAGGGACAGAUACAGGAUAGAAGGAGGCCUGUCAUUGGAGGAGAAGGAAGGAUGGGCGGGAGAAAAGUUUGAAGGAAGAGGAGGAGACUGGAAUGAAAAGAGGAGACAGGAGGAGAGGGAGAGAAGCUGUGGCAGGACAAUAUGGCAGGUGACGUUAAGAUUCUAUGCUGUGCCUUUACAGGUUGUUACAAAUGUUCUUAAGGGAUGGAUGGUACUGGGCUUUGUAUGUUUAGGUGGGCAAUUAUAUCUUACCAAUUGGGUCAAAAAAAAAAAAAGAAGAAGAACCUAUAGAGCAAUAGUAAUAAGAACUGUAUGGAAUUUGUAUAGCAUAAACCUAUACUCCUGUGGACACUUGAUUUUUGACAAAGAGAAAUACCAUACACAACAAAGACACCUAGGAAAUCCAAAGAAUCACUAGGUCUUACUUCAAAAAGCUGUAUUCCACAAAAUUGAAAAUCCAAAUGAAAUGAAUGGUUUUCUUGAUAGAUAUUACCAAAUUCAAUUCAAGAUUAGGUAAACAAUUUAAAUAGACUAACAAAAUAGAGACACUUAUUAAGAGUCUCACAACCCCAAAAGUCCAGGGCCAGAUGGCUUUAGAGAAGAAUUCUACAAUACUUUUAAAGAACGAAUACCAAUAUUCCCCAAACUAUUCCACAAAAUAGAAACAGAAGAAAUGUUUUUAAACUCAUUCUAUAAAGCCACAGUCACCUUGAUACUUUGUGCGGUAUCACAAAGACUCAGAAAGAAAGAUCAUUUUAGACCAAUUUCUCUUAUGAAUAUUGAUUAAGAAUCUUUAAAAUACUCACAAACUGAAUUAAAGAACACAUCAAAAUCAUCAUCCACCAUGAUCAAGUAGCUUUCAUCCAAGGAUUUAGGCAUGGUUCAACAUAGGAAAUAUCCAUUAAUGUAAUCCAACAUAUAAACAAACUGAAAGGGAAAAAAGCCAUAUGAUCAUCUCACUGGAUUCUGAAAAAGCUUUUGAAAAAAUUCAACACUCCUUCAUGAUAAAAGUCUUUGAGAGAUCAGGGAUACAAGACACAUGCCUAAGCACAAUAAAGGCCAAAUAUAGCAAGCCAAUAGCUAAAUCUAAUUAAAUGGAGAAAAAAAUAAAGCAAUUCCACUAAAAUCAGGGACAAGGCUGUCUGCGCUCUCCAUAUCUAUUCAAUAUAGUAUUUAAACUUUUAUAGUAAUAAGAUCACUAAAAGAGAUCAAGGGAAUAUAAACCAGAAAGGAAGAACUCAAAGAAUCGCUACUUGUAGAUGUUGUGGCCUGAAAAAUUCUAUUAGGGGACUCCUACAGUAAGAAAUACCUUCAACAAUGUGGCUGGAUUAACCAAAUUAACCAAAUUAACUGAGAAUAUCAGUAGCCCUCCUUUAUACAAAUGAUGAACAGGCUGAGAAAAACAUUUUUAAACACACCCUUUAUAAUAGCCAUAAAUAAUAUAAAAUAUCUUGCUGUAACUAACCAAGCAAAAGACCUUUAUGACAAGAACUUCAAGUCUUUGAAGAAAGAAACUGAAGAUAUCAGAAAAUAGGUCUUCCAUGCUCAUGUAUCAGUAGGAUCAUGUAUAAUGAUCAAAUUCAAUGCAGUUCCCAUCAAAAUUCCAACAUAAUUCUUUGCAGAUCUUGAAAGAACACUUUUCAACUUUACAUGGAAAACAAAAGCCCAGGAUACCUAGAACAGUCCUGUAAAUGGAAGAACUUCUGGAGGUGGCACAAUCCCUGGUCUCAAGCUGUAUUUCAGAGCAAUAGUAAAUAGUAAAAAUCCAUAUGGUGCUGGCAUAAAAACAAGAUAGGUUCAUCAAUUGGCUUGAAUCAAAGACCAAGAAGUAAACUCCCAUACCCCAUGACACUUGAUUUUUUUUUUUACAAAGAAGUCAAAACCAAAUAAUGGGGAGGAGAAAUAAAGUAUGUUCAACAAAUGGUGCUGUUCUAACUGGAUAUCUGUGUGUAAAGGAAAGCAAAUAGAUUCAUACAUAUUACCCUGCAUAAAACUCAAGUCCAAGUGGAUCAACAAGCUCAACAUAAACAGGUUACAAUAAAUCUGAUAGAAGAGAAAGUGGCUUUCCCACAGGAGACAACUUUCCAAACACAGCGCCAACAGCUCAGACACGAAGAACGAUAAAUAGGACCUCAUGAAACUGAAAAGUUUCCUGAGGCAAAGGACACUGUCCAAAUGACAAAAUAGCAGCCUAUAGAAUAAGAAAAAAAUCUUUACCAACCCUACAUAUGACAGGUGGCUGAUAUCCAAACUGUAUAAACUCGAGAAAUUAGAUAUCAACAAACUAAAUAAACCAAUUAAGAAAUGCGUAAGAGGUAAACAGAAUUCUCAACAGAGGAAUCUCUAGGGUUGAGAAGCACAAAAAUGUCCAACAUCCAUAGUCAUGAGGGAAAUGCAAAUAAAAAUAUGGGACUCAAAUCUUACAUUCAUCAGAAUGGCUAAGAUUAAAAACCUCAGGCACGGGACAGAACAUGCUGGCAAAGAUGUGGAGCAAAAGCAACACUUCUCCUUUGCUGGUGGUAGUGUACACUUGUACAACUAUUUUGUACAACCUCACAGAUUCUCAGAAAUGUGGGAAUAGUUCUACCUCAAGACCCAGCUAUACCACUCAUGGGUAUAUGCCCAAAAGAUGACUCACUAGACCACAAGAACACUUGCUUAACUACGUUCAUAGCAGAUUUAUUGUUCAUACUCAGAAACUGGAAAUUAGAUGUUCCUGAGCUGAAGAAUGGAUAAGGAAAAUGUGAAACAUCUACACAGUGGAAUUCUUCUCAGCUUCUGAAAACAAGAAUAUCAUGAAAUUUGAGGCAAAUCCGAUGGAACUAGAAAAGAUGAUCCUGAGUGAGGUAACCCAUGCCCAGAAAGACACUUAUAAGUGGGUAUUAGUCAUAAAGGACAUGAUAACCCUGCUACAAUUCACCGACCCAAAACGCUAAGUGAAAAGGAAGGCCCAAGUAGGCCUUGAAUCACACUGAGUAAGGGGAAUAGAAUAGACAUCAGGGGUGGAAGAGGGAGGGAAGUGGGGAUGGGAACAGGAGUGAUGUAGUGGGGUGAGAAGGGAGAGAAUGCUGGGAGAGAGAGCUAGAGUCAUUUGAGAGGCAUCGAGGACAAGCUAGAAGCCUAGGAAAAUUGAAACUCCCAGGAAUCAAUGAGUAUGACUAGCAAGAGUCCUAGAAAUGGGUGACAUGGAACUUAAAAUGGCCAACUCAGUGGAGGGAAUGAGACACCAACACAGCCAUAAAACCUUUGAACUACCAUUUGUCCUGCCUACAAGAGUUACAGGGGAAAGAUGGGGCAGAAAUUGACUAGGCAAAGACUGGCCCAUCUUGAGACUCACAUAAGAGCCAGUCACCCCUGACACAAUAUUUGCUGUACUUGAAGACAGGUGCCUAGUAAAAUUGGAGUCUGAGAAGACUGACCCAGCACCUGAUAAAGAACACUUGCAGAGACCCAGCCAAACAUUAGACAGAACUUCGUGAAUCCUGUCAAAGGUGAAGAGGCAGGAUUGAAAGUACCACAGAGGAAAGGGAACCUCAACUGACAGAUUGUCUCUUUAAGUUCAGUCUGUAGGGAAACCUAUAGGGCACCGUUUUUUUUUUUAAAUUGGAUUUUUUUUAAAUUUACAUUUCAAAUGUUAUCCCAUCCAUAAACCCCCUGUCUCCUCUCCCUCCCCCUUCUAUGAGGGUUUUCCCCAUCUCCAAUCACCCAUCCUUUUCUGCCUCCCUGCCCUGACAUUCCCCACUGGAAGUCCAACCUUGGCAGGACCAAGGGCUUCUCCUCCCAUUGGCGAUAGGGCACCUUCUUAAUUAGUGAUUGGUGGAGUAUGGCCCAGUCCAUUGUGGGAGUUGCAAUUCCUGCCCUGGUGGCCCAGGGUUCUUUUAGAAAGCAGGCGGAAGAAACCAUGAGGACCAAACCAGUAAGCAGCUCCCCUUCAUGCCCUUCCCAUCAGAAUCUAACUCCAGAUUCAUAACCGUUCUGAAUUCCUGCCUUGGAUUCCCUCAAUAGACUAUAUGACUCAGAAUAAGAAAUGGAAAAUCAAAAAUGAAAGCAAAACCAAAAACCAACCCCUUCCUCAUCAAUUUGCUUUUCUCCAUGUUUUAUCACAGAAGCAGUAGUGACUCUAACUAGGACUGCAGGCUUAAGACAAGGCCACUAACUGAGGACUGAGAGAGAAACUUUGAGAGAUGAGAAAACUUUUGACCUGGAUGGUCCCUACUCACAACAUACCCUUCAUGAAAAUGAAAGGGAUGACAGCGGCUGGAUUCAUUGCAGUUCUACGGUUUUUUAAGAUGAAUUAUUUUAUGUAUAUGAAUACAUUGCCAUGAUCUUCAGACACACCAGAAGAGGGCACUGGAUCCCAUUACAGAUGUUUGUGAGCCACCAUGUGGUUGCCUGGAAUUGAAUGCAGGAUCUCUCGAUGAGCCAUCAGUGCUUUUUAACUACUGAACCAUAUCUCCACACAAUGUUUUAUGUUUUAUUAAGCAAUAUUAUAAGGGAUAUGUACAUAUUUCA